UCUUCCUACGGGACGCAGCAGUGGGGAAUAUUGCACAAUGGGGGAAACCCUGAUGCAGCGACGCCGCGUGAAGGAUGAAGUAUUUCGGUAUGUAAACUUCUAUCAGCAGGGAAGAAAAUGACGGUACCUGACUAAGAAGCCCCGGCUAACUACGUGCCAGCAGCCGCGGUAAUACGUAGGGAGCGAGCGUUGUCCGGAAUUACUGGGCGUAAAGGGCGCGUAGGCGGGAACUUAAGUUAGAUGUGAAAACUCCGGGCUCAACCUGGAGACUGCAUUUAGAACUGGGUUUCUUGCGGGCAGGAGAG
RNAcentral lists this ribosomal RNA (305 nucleotides) under uncultured bacterium. Its description in RNAcentral is "bacterial SSU rRNA". It matches the Rfam family "Bacterial small subunit ribosomal RNA", at positions 334 to 656 of the family's 1533-position model. The record is from RNAcentral.